This 253-nucleotide ribosomal RNA is filed under the name uncultured bacterium. Its description in RNAcentral is "partial 16S ribosomal RNA". It matches the Rfam family "Bacterial small subunit ribosomal RNA", at positions 524 to 776 of the family's 1533-position model. The record is from RNAcentral.
UACAGAGGGUGCGAGCGUUGUUCGGAUUCAUUGGGCGUAAAGGGUGCGUAGGCGGCGGAGUAAGUCGGAUGUGAAAUCCCGGGGCUCAACCCCGGAACUGCAUUCGAUACUGCCUUGCUAGAGUACUGGAGAGGAGACUGGAAUUUACGGUGUAGCAGUGAAAUGCGUAGAUAUCGUAAGGAAGACCAGUGGCGAAGGCGAGUCUCUGGACAGUUACUGACGCUGAGGCACGAAGGCCAGGGGAGCAAACGGG